This 2352-nucleotide long non-coding RNA is filed under the name Homo sapiens (human). Its description in RNAcentral is "HSALNT0007951". Lineage: Eukaryota; Metazoa; Chordata; Mammalia; Primates; Hominidae. The record is from RNAcentral.
UUUUAGAUUCCACAUAUAAGUAAGAUCAUGCCACAGUUUUCUUUCUGUGUCUGGCUUAUUUCACUAAUGUCCUUCAGGUUCAGUCAUGUUGUUGCAAAUGGCAGGGUCUUGGAAGGGACUCUCUUGUCCUAAACUUACCCAAAACUUCCAGAUAACCCAGGGAUAGGAUGACUCCUUUUGGGUUUGAGAAUGUCUCUGGAACAUGCUGCUUAAAACACAAGAAUGGCCUUAAAGGUAAAGCUGGAAAAUUGGACACAUGUAUUUAGCUCUCUUUCUUCCUGAAACCCACUAACACAAAAACAAAGAAAGUGGAAACAAAGAAAGCAGCAAAAUGUUGAAAGUUAAAAUGCUGUGGAAGACUGGCGACCGGCCUGCCAGACCCCAUCAAACUGCACACGGAGCCUGCAGUGGGAAACGCCAAAAGCAACUCGGUUCACAUUCAGAGCAGUGAAACAGCGCAGGACUGGUGGCAUCUGGUACCUCUGGAGGAGAGAUUUAUUUUCUAGAGACAGUAACCAGGGGAUUUCUGAACUAGAGAAGCCAGAGAGUGCGGAGGUCUGGGAGGAUGCUGUACUGAAAACAGAGGGAUUAAAGACUACAGAGGAGCAGACUGAAUAUUUGGGUUCCAGCCUUCUUCUCACACUUGGCUCCCGGAACACAGCAGCCAGGCACACACAUUCUUCAAAUAGGGGAUUGAAGAGUCUUCUCUGGGCAUCUGACCAACUCAAGAGGAGAAGCCUAAAGUGAGGGUUCCCUAGAAAACAGUCAAGUCAUGUCACUCCCAGUGCCAGGAAGAAAGCUAUGUGAAAACGAAGGCAGAGAUCAGGGCGAUGUGUCUACGAGUCAAGGAACAGCAAAGAUUGCCAGCGAACCACAGGAGCAGGGAGAGGCGUGGAACAGAGCCUCCCUCACAGCCCGCAGAAGGAAUCAACCCUGCCUCUGGAACUGUGAGACAACACAUUGCUCUUGUCUAAGCCACCCAGUCUGUGGUACUUUCUUUUUUUCUUUUUUUUUUACUCGUCGUAUUUUUAUUUUUUUUAACUUUUAUUUUGAGUUCGGGGAUACACGUGCAGGUUUGUUACAUAGGUAAACACCGGUAACAGGGGUUUGUUGUACAUAUUAUUUUAUCACCCAGGUAUUAAGCCCGGUAUCCAAUAGUUAUCCUUUCUGCUCCUCUCCCUUCUCUCACCCUCCCUGCUCAAGUAGACCCCAGCGUCUUUGUUUCCUUCUUUGUGUUUAUAAAUUCUUAUCUUUCAGCCCCCACUUACAAGUAAGAGCAUGUAGUAUUUGGUUUUCUGUUCCUGCAUUAGUUUUCUAAGGAUAAUAGCCUCUAGCUUCAUCCAUGUUCCUUCAAAAGACAUGAUCUUGUUCUUUUUUUAUGGCUGUAUAAUAUUCCAUGGUGUAUAUGUACCAUGUUUUCUUCAUCCAGUCUCACUGAUAGGCAUUUAGAUUGAUUCUAUGCCUUUACUAUUGUGAAUAGUGCUGCAAUGAACAUUCGUGUGCAUGUGUUGUUAUGGUAGAAUGAUUUACAGUCCUCUGGGUACCUACCCAGUAGUGGGAUUGCUGAGUCAAAUGGUAGUUCUGUUUUUAGCUCUUUGAGGAAUUGCCACACUGUUUUCCACAAUGGUUGAACUAAUCUACACUCCCACAAAUAGUGUAUAAGCGUUCCCUUUUCUCCACAACCUUGCCAACACCUGUUAUUUUUUGACUUUUUAAUAGUAGCCAUUCUGGCUGGUGUGAGAUGGUAUUUCAUUAUGGUUUUGACUUGCAUUUCUCUAAUGAUCAGUGAUAUUGAGCUUUUUUUUCAUAUGCUUGUUGGCCACAUGUAUGUCUUGUUUUGAGAAGUAUCUGUUCAUGUCCUUUGCCCACUUUUUAAUGGGGUUGUUUUCUUCUUGUAAAUUUGUUUAAGUUCCUUAUAGAUGCUGGAUAUUAGACCUUUGUGUGGUAUCUUCUUACAGCAGGCCUAGCAAACAAAUACACAUGGUAUGUGGGAGCUCAUUUCCACAUGCUCCAUGAAGGAAAGACCUGUGUCUCUGAAUCUUCCUCUGAAGGAAGGAGGAAAGGAAAGCAGAAAAGAAAAAAGGGAGGGAAGGAAGAAAAAGGGUGGGUCACAAUGCGCCUGCACCUGCCUUGACCCCAGCUGGAAAAUCUGCCUGUGAGCAAGGGGGCUUAUACUUCUGUAUUUAAUCCUUAUAUAACCAGAACAUGUUUGUGUAUAACAUUGGUAGUUGAAAAAUAAAUACAAACAUAUAUACAUAUCAAAGAAAAGCAGAAAAGAAAAUUCUUCUUCUUUCUCCAAGUCUCCAAAUGGGAGAGUAACUGCUUGGUAAUGUUGAGGUUAAUAAAAAGAAU